Molecule: ribosomal RNA, 430 nt
Filed under: uncultured Mesorhizobium sp.
Lineage: Bacteria; Pseudomonadati; Pseudomonadota; Alphaproteobacteria; Hyphomicrobiales; Phyllobacteriaceae
Description: bacterial SSU rRNA
Rfam family: Bacterial small subunit ribosomal RNA
Source: RNAcentral
GUGCCAGCCGCUGCGGUAAUACGAAGGGGGCUAGCGUUGUUCGGAAUUACUGGGCGUAAAGCGCACGUAGGCGGAUACUUAAGUCAGGGGUGAAAUCCCGAGGCUCAACCUCGGAACUGCCUUUGAUACUGGGUAUCUUGAGUCCGGAAGAGGUGAGUGGAAUUCCGAGUGUAGAGGUGAAAUUCGUAGAUAUUCGGAGGAACACCAGUGGCGAAGGCGGCUCACUGGUCCGGUACUGACGCUGAGGUGCGAAAGCGUGGGAGCAAACAGGAUUAGAUACCCUGGUAGUCCACGCCGUAAACUAUGAGAGCUAGCCGUCGGUAAGUUUACUUAUCGGUGGCGCAGCUAACGCAUUAAGCUCUCCGCUGGGGAUACGGUCGCAAGAUUAAAACUCAAAGGAUUGGACGGGGCCCGCGACAAGCGGUGGAGC